CUUCAAAUGGCCAACUUGUUCAAACAGCCUAUGUUUCUAGAACUUUACCAUGUUUCCAAGGAUAUCGACCACCAUUCCCACUGAUGUCAUCUGAUUGAGCAUGAAGGGAGUUUCAAAGACUGCACACAUCUCAGGUUGAGAACUCCUGAUUGAAUGCUUUGGAGAAAGCCUGGGCUCCAUGCUUUCGAAGAGUUCAGAGCCUGGAAUCAAGAAGUUGGACCCUUCUGGGAUCUGUUUAAUUUUUUCACUGUCCCUGUGGAAGUGGGGCAAGUCACUCUUCAAUGGCAACAUCCAAGCUUCCUCUAUGGUGAACCACCUGGAUCUCUCCUCAUGGCAGCUGUAGGAAACACAGGAACUCCGUGACCUGGAAAAUGUGGGACAACUGCCACAAGGUGACCCUGGAAG
This is a long non-coding RNA of Hyaena hyaena (striped hyena), 405 nucleotides long. RefSeq lists it as uncharacterized. NCBI's taxonomy places the organism in Eukaryota, Metazoa, Chordata, Mammalia, Carnivora, Hyaenidae. The transcript has 3 exons. The record is from RefSeq and is a predicted model, not a curated record.